Long non-coding RNA from Saccostrea cuccullata (small rock oyster), 3533 nucleotides. RefSeq lists it as uncharacterized. The record is from RefSeq and is a predicted model, not a curated record. The transcript is spliced from 6 exons. NCBI's taxonomy places the organism in Eukaryota, Metazoa, Mollusca, Bivalvia, Ostreida, Ostreidae.
AAUGAAGAGGAUAACAUAAUACUGAGCUAAAAAUUUUGUGUAAAAUAUGUUUUCAGUUUAGUUUACAAUACAAGCUGUAAAUGUGCUGGAGAUUUUAUUGAUGUUGAAGCUUGUAAACAAAACCAAUAAACGUAGGACUUAUUCACGGCAAUGUAUGGGAACCAGAGCUGGGAACCAGUCUAGAAGGCAAAGAAAAUUCCGCCAAGUAAACAACAAAGAAAGGGAUUUGGGAUGUUGUCAGUUGUAUACAUUAUGUGGGCCGGUGACUGCAAGAAGCAAGGAAUGUGGAGCUAAUGCAUGCUGCUAAGGAUGGAAAGUUCUUGUGUUUAUUGGUUGUUCCUGAGACAUCAGUCACAGUUGUACCUUAUUUCCAUUUUAGAAGCAAGGAAUGUGGAGCUAAUGCAUGCUGCUAAGGAUGGAAAAGUCUUGUGUAUAUUGGUUGUGCCUGAGACACCAGUCACAGUUGUACCUUAUUUCCAUUUUAGGUAAUGCCUUUUGAUUUUUUUUAAGUAGAGGAACAAUGCAUUUUUCAUUCAAUAUAAAGCUUCGCUCUCAUUUUUUAACAAAUUUUCAUUGUAUAUUUUUGCAGAAGCAAGGAAUGUGGAGCUAAUGCAUGCAGCUAAGGAUGGAAAGGUCUUGUGUAUAUUGGUUGUGCCUGAGACACCAGUCACAGUUGUACCUUAUUUCCAUUUUAGAAGCAAGGAAUGUGGAGCUAAUGCAUGCUGCUAAGGAUGGAAAGGUCUUGUGUAUAUUGGUUGUGCCUGAGACACCAGUCACAGUUGUACUUUAUUUCCAUUUUAGGGAGUCUAUAUACACUUGAGAGGUGAGCGUCAGAUUUAUUUUGAAGAUUGAUGACUUUCAGAUGUUGUGAUGACAAUUGUUGAAAGAGAUUAUCAACAUAGAACCAAUCCAUAUGAAUGUGCAAGUCAGGACUUGUACAACACCUGAGUACCCAGAUGACUGUUGAACUAAUUGGUGAACAAGAAAAGAUGUCAGAGAGGGGAAUCCAAAACAGAUGUCAUGAUCAAGAAAAUGUACUGUUAUCAAUGAUAUGAUCAAAAAUUUGUAAACAUGUAGUGAUUUAGAAUAUCUUAUCUGUAAUAUAACUCUUCAAUACUUAAUUGUUCACACAUUAUCAUCUUAUCUGUAUAUUAAUCGCCCCUCUUAUAUAACCCCCUGCUGAUUGUAAUGACCUGUGUAUUGAUUCCUGAUCUUAAGGAUCUUAUACAUGUAAUGUGCUCCUGAUCGUCAGGAGCGGAUCUUGAGUACAGGUGUAUAUAUAUAGUGCGACAGAAUUUUAGAAUAAGGUAGGAAGGUGGAAAUAUAGAAGACUUAGUAGAUAGAACUGUUAGAGAUAGAUAAAGUUACUUACUUACUUGGAAUAUAACCUAAUAUUUCUUGGAUUUAUAUGUACAUGUGAUUAUUUAACUUGGAUUUUAUUUUUAGUGAAUUAUUUUUCCUGAAUGUUUCUGUUUGUGAUGUGCUGUGUAAAUAAACUGUAGACUAGAAUUUCGGCAAGAUAUGAACAAGGAUAAAUUGAUUUAUUCAUGCAAACUGACAUUAUGAAAUGUGUUAUAAGACUGCCUGAUGCGGCGCUACAAACUAACUAGUAAAUAUCUUGGAGAUUUAUAGAUGAACAUGCAAGCAUUCUUGGUUUUAAAUGUUAUUCAUUCAGAGUUUUUGCACAAAUUCAAUUUUCAGUACAGUAAUUUAAACUGGAUGAGUGAUUUUCAGUACAGUUAUGUAAAAUGAAUAUGUUACUUUAUUUUGAUUGUCAGUUUCUCAACAGGACAUAAUUUAUUUUUUUGCAGAACAAAACACACAGAACUUUUUUUCUCUUUGUGCAUCAUACACUUGUAAAUGUUUUACACCAUUUUGGUUACAUAUUUUACAUUUAUGACGUGUAAAUCGAACAAACACAUGAAAAUAUGUGAAGCUGGAUACAUAUGCAAACAUGCAUCUACCAUAACCUAUUACACAUUUUCCAAGGUGUGUGAAGUCGAGCACAUACAUGAAAAUGUGUGAAGCUGGACACAUACACAAAUACACAUGCAUCUGCCACAACCUAUUACAUAUUUUCCAAGGCGUGUGAAGUCGAGCACAUACAUGAAAAUGUGUGAAGCUGGACACAUAUGCAAACACACAAGCAUCUAACACAACCUAUUACAUAUUUUCCAAGGCGUGUGAAGUCGAGCACAUACAUGAAAAUGUGUGAAGCUGGACACAUAUGCAAACACACUAACAUUACCACAGACAUAAAAACAAAUCUAAAUUAAAUCAAGCAUAGACAGGCUCAUGGGGUGAAGCUGGACUCGUACAUGAUCUCAUGCAUUUUGCAAACUGCAUCCCCGCAUCUAUUCUAAUAGAUUUUUCACCAUAUUUUGUGUUUGUGAAUAUGUAAAAUGCAUCAUUUUGCAUUACAAGUUGAAGAUGUUAUUAGCCUGUGUAUAAUAAGUGCAAAUCAAAUAGCCUUUUAUGUAAUUUUUUUCACAUUUUUAAUUCAAUUUAAACUGCAAAUUUUAUUUUAUAUAUGUACAUGCACCAGAAAGAAUAAAUAUUGUACAUGUAUUAGUAUUAUAUUUUAAAGUGAAAUGAGACCUCCAUUUCAUAAGCAGAAAUGUAAAAUUUAUACUUGUCAUCUGUAUUUCUUUUUUGUAUUUUUUCUCACAUGUAUCUGAAUGUUUAAAGGAAAGCAAAAGUCAAAGAUAGCUCAAUAUAAUGUUUAUAUUCAAGGUUAUAACUGGAUAUUGUUUGUGCUGUAUAUCUGACUGAUCAUAUUAUGAGAAGCAAAAAUACAGAAUAUUUUAGAUCAUUUUUGAUUGGAAAAUGAAAAAUAUCAGUAUGCCAAUUUUUCCCAUUGUUAUAUUUUUAAUUACUUUAUCAUUAAUAUCAAUGUACAUAUUAAAGAUCUAUGUCAUCCAAUUCAGAGAGUUGUAGGCAAUCCUGGUGCAGAUAAUAUUUUUUUCCUGUGUUUCGCAGUAUAGCGGGAAUACUUUGUAUGCGAGGAAUGUAUAUCAAUGGUUUUGGUUGUAUAUGUGGGCGUGGCCAAAGAAAAGCCAAUGAGAAAUGAGUAUUCAGUAAUAUGUUCAUAUCAUUCUAAGCCAGUGCUCUUCAAUACAUACACAUUUUUUUUUGCUUUAUAUAUAUCAUAUUUGUAUAAAUAUACUGGUAAUGGAAAUAACAAAACUGUUGAAAUGUAUUUUAAUUUUGAUUUUUUCAUACAUGCAAAUAUUAUAGGAUGUUCAUGCAUUUUUAACUAUUGCACCGAAUGCACGUCCGGCAUUCUCCUUUGAGACAUUAUUUACAUAGCGACGGACACAGGUUUUCCAUAGUUAACCAUCUAUGGUUUUUGCCUGGGCGGUUUUUAAUGUCAGUGAUAGGGAUACAAUUUAUUACAUGUAAAUUAUUUUGCAAAUGCAUUGCAGUGCUUUAUUGUUUCACAUUCAAUGUAAUGUAUAUUAAAAAUUUAUGUUUUGUUACAUGUAUCAAAAUAAACGCCAGCUGCUCCAACUAAGCUAACCUGGCUUACAUCA